GAUGAAGAACGUAGCGAAACGCGAAAGGUAAUGCGAAUUGCAGAAUUCAGUGAAUCAUCGAAUCUUUGAACGCACAUUGCGCCCCCUGGUAUUCCGGGGGGCAUGCCUGUUCGAGCGUCAUUUCACCACUCAAGCCUCGCUUGGUAUUGGGCAACGCGGUCCGCCGCGUGCCUCAAAUCGUCCGGCUGGGUCUUCUGUCCCCUAAGCGUUGUGGAAACUAUUCGCUAAAGGGUGUUCGGGAGGCUACGCCGUAAAACAACCCCAUUUCUAAGGUUGACCUCGGAUCAGGUAGGGAUACCCGCUGAACUUAAGCAUAUCAAUAAGCGGAGGA
Molecule: unclassified non-coding RNA, 331 nt
Filed under: soil metagenome
Description: partial contains 5.8S ribosomal RNA, internal transcribed spacer 2, and large subunit ribosomal RNA
Rfam family: 5.8S ribosomal RNA (bases 1-120)
Source: RNAcentral